GCUUGUCUCAAAGAUUAAGCCAUGCAUGUCUAAGUAUAGUACCUUAUACUGCGAAACUGCGAAUGGCUCAUUAAAUCAGUUAUAAUUCAUUUGAUGGUACUUACUACUCGGAUAACCGUAGUAAUUCUAGAGCUAAUACAUGCAGGAAGACCCGACUCACGAAGGGUUGUAUUUAUUAGAUAAGAAACCUUCCCCUUUGGGUUGCGUGCCGAGUCACAAUAACUGCUCGAAUCGCAUGGCUUCACGCCGGCGAUGGUUCAUUCAAAUUUCUGCCCUAUCAGCUUUCGAUGGUAGGAUCGAGGCCUACCAUGGCGUUUACGGGUAACGGAGAAUUAGGGUUCGAUUCCGGAGAGGGAGCCUGAGAGAUGGCUACCACAUCCAAGGAAGGCAGCAGG
RNAcentral lists this ribosomal RNA (395 nucleotides) under Chrysochromulina parva. Its description in RNAcentral is "partial small subunit ribosomal RNA". It matches the Rfam family "Eukaryotic small subunit ribosomal RNA", at positions 30 to 432 of the family's 1831-position model. The record is from RNAcentral. Lineage: Eukaryota; Haptophyta; Prymnesiales; Chrysochromulinaceae.